CACGUGCUCCGGGGUCGGUGAAAGUCCGAGCCGGCGGUGACAGUCCGCGACCCGAGAGCGUCCUCCGUCGGAGGCCGCGAUCGGUUGAGCUGGUGGAACUCCAGCACCGACGGUGAGAGUCCGGAUGGGAGGAAGCACGAG
Non-coding RNA from Actinomyces radicidentis, 141 nucleotides. The record is from Rfam. Lineage: Bacteria; Bacillati; Actinomycetota; Actinomycetes; Actinomycetales; Actinomycetaceae.